AUUGAACGCUGGCGGCAUGCUUUACACAUGCAAGUCGAACGGUAACAGGUCUUCGGAUGCUGACGAGUGGCGAACGGGUGAGUAAUGUAUCGGAACGUGCCCAGUAGUGGGGGAUAACUACUCGAAAGAGUGGCUAAUACCGCAUGAGAACUGAGGUUGAAAGCGGGGGACCGAAAGGCCUCGUGCGAAUGGAGCGGCCGAUGUCAGAUUAGCUUGUUGGUGGGGUAAAGGCUCACCAAGGCGACGAUCUGUAGCGGGUCUGAGAGGAUGAUCCGCCACACUGGGACUGAGACACGGCCCAGACUCCUACGGGAGGCAGCAGUGGGGAAUUUUGGACAAUGGGCGCAAGCCUGAUCCAGCCAUGCCGCGUGCGGGACGAAGG
RNAcentral lists this ribosomal RNA (382 nucleotides) under uncultured bacterium. RNAcentral's name for it is "bacterial SSU rRNA". It matches the Rfam family "Bacterial small subunit ribosomal RNA", at positions 29 to 414 of the family's 1533-position model. The record is from RNAcentral.